This is a non-coding RNA of Epinephelus lanceolatus (giant grouper), 352 nucleotides long. The record is from RefSeq and is a predicted model, not a curated record. NCBI's taxonomy places the organism in Eukaryota, Metazoa, Chordata, Actinopteri, Perciformes, Serranidae.
AGGUUGUCCUGUCGGAGCAGCAGUCGGUCAACCACGAGAAACAGAUUCAUAGACAGACUGAAGCAGAAACAGACGUCACUGUGAAGAAACUCCUGCAAGAAAACAAGACGGUUGAGUGAAUCUGAAGCAGCAGAGAUGAUUCUUCUGAACAUCAUCAUCAUCAUCGCCGCUCUGAUGGUAACAUCAGCAGCUCAAGACCCAGGUGUCUCUCAGAAGUGUGUGUCACCGUCAGGAAAGAGGGAGGUCAACUGCACCUUCACAGGGCACAAUCUCGAAUUCAUCUGGUGGCUCAACAACCAAUUAGUGCGCAAGAACAUCAGCUCACAACCUGCUGACCAUCCUGUCAGAAGCA